Molecule: long non-coding RNA, 2408 nt
Organism: Anolis carolinensis (green anole)
Lineage: Eukaryota; Metazoa; Chordata; Lepidosauria; Squamata; Anolidae
Exons: 2
Source: RefSeq, a predicted model, not a curated record
UAUAUUUCAUGCAGCUACUUAUUUUGAGGGAUUUGGAUUAGUUUCAUAGUACUUUUAACAGUUAGAGGACCUAGAGCAGAGCUUUCCAAACUGUGUGUCAUGACAUACUGGUGUGUCAACUAUUGCCCCCCAGUGUGUUGCAUAAAAAAUGCUCCAUCCUACCCCCACAAGACAAGAGGCAUGUUGGUUGCCCUGGAAGCACAAGCAUGAGCAACUGCGGCAGUAGUAGCAGCUCCAGUCCUAACCCCCUUCAGUCAUGCAGGAAGGCAGUCCAAGCCCUCACAACAGAUAACCAUCCAGUCUCAUUUCUAAACCUCCAGAGAUGAAUACACUUUACAAGAGUCAAUGAGACCUCCAAGUUCAAACAUCUUCAGCUAGACAGGAAGACACAGUCAAAGCACCCCUGGAUGACUAUCCGGUCUCUGUUUGAAAACCUCAGGAGAUGUUUAAUCACUACAGUUUUCAAUUAAGAAAAAAUUUGAUCACAAUGAUGUUUGUGAUUAACCACAUGGAAUGGCUAUAGAAGAGAUUAUAUAUAUAAUCUUAUAAGGGAUUGGUUUAACCCCCAGCUUGUUAGUAAAACUGAAUUACAAUGUCAUGAAAAGAUGCACAUCUAAAAAUUGUGUCACCAACAUGAAAAGUUUGGAAAGCUCUGAUCUAUCAUAUGUAACAGAGUCACUGGUGGACAAAAAAGCUCAUGUAGAUGGAUCCUUGUGUUGGUUGCUUAUAAUAAUUUCAAAAAACAGUAUGUAUAUAUGAAAUGUGCAUACAAACAAUUGACUCUGUAAUCAGAGAAAAACAAAAAGGGGAGCAAGAAAUAAAGACUCUUGGUUGGUGCAAGAAAAAAUCCAAAUGGUGCUCCUCCCAUGUUAAAAACAAUUAAUGACAACUUGCUAUUUGAAAGCGAUCAGAAGCACCCUGAACUUAGAUUGGAAACAUAUUGGCCAUGUGUGCAGUCCCUUUAAAGCUCAUGUUAUAUCACAUGAUUCAUAUCAUGUAGUGUAGCUACUGUAUAUUUUGGGUUGUGGAGGCAUUAGAAUCUGCAGCCAGAGAUUUCUUCUUUGGUGCUUCUACCCAUACUUCAAAUACCAAGAUUUCCAUUGCAGUAAAAGGGGAAUUAUGCUUUUCCUGCACAAUCUGGACUAGAUAGCCCCUGUGGUGUAUUCCAACUCUAUUAUUCUAUGAUUCAAUGGUCUAUAGUGUUCAAACUGUGUAGUAUGAAAGGGCCCCAGGUGAGAACAUGUAAUGCUAGCAACCAAGUCAUGAAAAAUUUAUCUCAAAGGCCCAAAUAUAAGGAACAGGGGCAGACUAAUUUGCUGUCUAUAUAUUUGCCCUAAAAGUAAAAGGGUAUAUGUGGGCAUGCGUGUGUGAAUAUGUGUGUGUGUUAAUAUGCAUGUGUGAAUGUGUAUGUGUGUUAACAUGUGAUGAGGACAUUAUACACAGGUAGAUAAUGGUAAUCACAUAAGCAAGUGCACUUGAAUAUUUCCCUACUUUCAACAGUUUUCCAUCUCAGUAUCAACGUUACAUUUUUAUAGUUAAUGAGUGGAGCUGUCAGUCUCUUACAUUCAGUUGCUUCAGGCUCUUCUGCCCAGACAGAGUUCAGGAAGUUUGUGGGUUGAAGAAGAGAAUUCAUUAGAUUAACUUGUGUUGGAUUUACAAUGAAAAUAUAUCUAUAAUGGGACAUUCAAACAUCAUGCCAAUAUAAUUCAGUUGGAGAAGACAAUUACAAAUUACAAAGAAGCAAAUAGAUUGAUUUUUGGAGAAAAAUUACUUUCUUCAGUUCUUAAUGAUGUUUUAAAUUUUGAGAUAUGAACUACAUUUCUGAAAUUGCCUCAGUCAUGCAAAGGAAUUGCAAAUUAGAAUUCAUGGAUUUUAAUUAAGAAAAACGAUACAUUUCUUCAGAUCAAAUAGAUAGAGACUCGUUUAAAUCACUGCAUCAAUACAUAAUUAAUUAAAAUGUAGUUUCUUGUUGUAUUUCUUGAAUAAUGAUGUGAAUCUGAGCAGUGAAUGAUACUCAUUUUCAAUGGAGCAUGUCCAGAUAUAAGGGAUGGAGAGAGAGCAGGACAAUUAUGAUACUGUUGCCAUUGAGAUAGCAAACUGAUUUCUGGGCAAUCCCAGUUCUGUAUUGGUGAGGAGGAGAGAACAGACCCUUCUCCUUUCCUGUUUAAGACCAGCUGAUGUUGUGUGUCCAAGGAAGGAGCCAACCACAGAGAAUUGCAUCAAUGUGAUGCAGGAUCUUCACCAAUAAUCGUGUUCAUAGAUUUUUAAAAUUUGAUAACAUUUUGAUAGUAGGAUCACAUGAUGCUAUUCACCAGUCAUUCGUCAUUACUGGACAUGAAAGAUUAGCCCUAAUGAUUAUCAAGCAUAUAACUCUGUUCAGCAUUUAUUCUUUGCUUGGUGACAAACAC